Molecule: ribosomal RNA, 460 nt
Filed under: uncultured bacterium
Lineage: Bacteria
Description: partial 16S ribosomal RNA
Rfam family: Bacterial small subunit ribosomal RNA
Source: RNAcentral
CCUACGGGAGGCAGCAGUGAGGAAUAUUGGUCAAUGGGCGCGAGACUGAACCAGCCAAGUAGCGUGAAGGAUGACUGCCCUACGUGUUGUAAACUUCUUUUAUAAAGUAAUAAAGUGAGGCACGUGUGCCUUUUUGUAUGUACUUUAUGAAUAAGGAUCGGCUAACUCCGUGCCAGCAGCCGCGGUAAUACGGAGGAUCCGAGCGUUAUCCGUAUUUAUUGGGUUUAAAGGGAGCGUAGAUGGGUUGUUAAGUCAGUUGUGAAAGUUUGCGGCUCAACCGUAAAAUUGCAAUUGAUACUGGCAGUCUUGAGUACAGUUGAGGUAGGCGGAAUUCGUGGUGUAGCGGUGAAAUGCUUAGAUAUCACGAAGAACUCAGAUUGCGAAGGCAGCUUACUAAACUGCCACUGACAUUGAUGCUCGAAAGUGUGGGUAUCAAACAGGAUUAGAUACCCCGGUAGUC